AACGGGGUCUAAUACCGGAUACGACACACGACCGCAUGGUCUGUGUGUGGAAAGCUCCGGCGGUGAAGGAUGAGCCCGCGGCCUAUCAGCUUGUUGGUGGGGUGAUGGCCUACCAAGGCGACGACGGGUAGCCGGCCUGAGAGGGCGACCGGCCACACUGGGACUGAGACACGGCCCAGACUCCUACGGGAGGCAGCAGUGGGGAAUAUUGCACAAUGGGCGAAAGCCUGAUGCAGCGACGCCGCGUGAGGGAUGACGGCCUUCGGGUUGUAAACCUCUUUCAGCAGGGAAGAAGCGAAAGUGACGGUACCUGCAGAAGAAGCGCCGGCUAACUACGUGCCAGCAGCCGCGGUAAUACGUAGGGCGCAAGCGUUGUCCGGAAUUAUUGGGCGUAAAGAGCUCGUAGGCGGCUUGUCACGUCGGAUGUGAAAGCCCGGGGCUUAACCCCGGGUCUGCAUUCGAUACGGGCAGGCUAGAGUUCGGUAGGGGAGAUCGGAAUUCCUGGUG
Molecule: ribosomal RNA, 507 nt
Filed under: Actinomycetales bacterium TLI223
Lineage: Bacteria; Bacillati; Actinomycetota; Actinomycetes; Actinomycetales
Description: bacterial SSU rRNA
Rfam family: Bacterial small subunit ribosomal RNA
Source: RNAcentral